Molecule: long non-coding RNA, 947 nt
Filed under: Ananas comosus (pineapple)
Lineage: Eukaryota; Viridiplantae; Streptophyta; Magnoliopsida; Poales; Bromeliaceae
Description: long non-coding RNA (ACOM_LNC009836)
Source: RNAcentral
UUUUAAAAAAUGAUGAUAGGAGUCUUGUAAUCAAGAUCAAGAGUAUAGAUCUGGUUUUAAAUAGUUUAAAGAAUUUUCUAACAAAAAUUCAAUUGAUUUGGAUAUCUUUACGCCGUUAAACGAGAAAACGCCUCUUAUCGACUAUUAAAAUUACAAAUUUUGCAACCCUUUGAUCAUUAGGUAAAUGAUGUCGAAAAAAUUUGAAAUUUGAUUUCUAAACACUUCAAGUGGUAUAGAUCAUGUUCAAUGGAGCCGAUCGUCAAUUGGAAGUUCUAUCAUCGAAAACAAAUCGGUAGUAAAACGGCUCGUUUACUACCGAUAGUAUUCUAGCUCAACUCUAUAUAUAUAUAUGUGUGUGUGUGUGUGUGGAAUAGUGUUUAAUCCAAGUGGUAUUAGUAAUUAAAGAGUAGAUCCAAGGGCUAGAAACUUAGAAGUACCAAGAGUUGGUGCUUCUAAAAGUAUUCUAGCUCAAUUCAUAUAUAUACAUAUAUGUAUAUAUAUGAAUUGAGCUAGAAUACUCUCAAAAGCACUAAGGGGAUGAUAUUUUUGAGUUUUUAACAAUUGGAUGGAGAGAUGUAUAUACGGUUGAGAUGAUGGUGGUAGAUGUUAGUAGGUGGAAUAGUGUUUGAUCCAAGAGGUAUUAGUAAUUAAGGAGUAGAUCCAAUGGCCAGAAACUUAGAAGCACCAAGGGGUUGGUGCUUCUAAAAGUAUUCUAGCUCAAUUAUAUAUAUAUAUAUAUAUAUAUAUAUAUAUAUAUAUAGAGCUAGGUUGGUAUACUAUCGGUAGCACGGAGGUCUUCAUGCUACCAAGUUGUUUUCAAUGAUGACGCUUCCAAAUUGACGAUCGGCUUCGUUAGACUUGAUUUACACUAUUAAAAAUAUUUGAAAACUAAAUUUCAUAAUUUUUCGACACCAUUUGAGGUUUUCCCUAAUAAUAUUAUUAGCAAU